RNAcentral lists this ribosomal RNA (302 nucleotides) under uncultured bacterium. RNAcentral describes it as "partial 16S ribosomal RNA". It matches the Rfam family "Bacterial small subunit ribosomal RNA", at positions 508 to 807 of the family's 1533-position model. The record is from RNAcentral.
GCAGCAGCCGCGGGAAUACAGAGGGUGCGAGCGUUAAUCGGAUUUACUGGGCGUAAAGCGUGCGUAGGCGGCUUUUUAAGUCGGAUGUGAAAUCCCUGAGCUUAACUUAGGAAUUGCAUUCGAUACUGGGAAGCUAGAGUAUGGGAGAGGAUGGUAGAAUUCCAGGUGUAGCGGUGAAAUGCGUAGAGAUCUGGAGGAAUACCGAUGGCGAAGGCAGCCAUCUGGCCUAAUACUGACGCUGAGGUACGAAAGCAUGGGGAGCAAACAGGAUUAGAUACCCCCGUAGUCCCUGUCUCUUAUAC